RNAcentral lists this ribosomal RNA (1462 nucleotides) under Lactiplantibacillus plantarum. RNAcentral describes it as "bacterial SSU rRNA". The record is from RNAcentral. Lineage: Bacteria; Bacillati; Bacillota; Bacilli; Lactobacillales; Lactobacillaceae.
CUGGCGGCGUGCCUAAUACAUGCAAGUCGAACGAACUCUGGUAUUGAUUGGUGCUUGCAUCAUGAUUUACAUUUGAGUGAGUGGCGAACUGGUGAGUAACACGUGGGAAACCUGCCCAGAAGCGGGGGAUAACACCUGGAAACAGAUGCUAAUACCGCAUAACAACUUGGACCGCAUGGUCCGAGUUUGAAAGAUGGCUUCGGCUAUCACUUUUGGAUGGUCCCGCGGCGUAUUAGCUAGAUGGUGRGGUAACGGCUCACCAUGGCAAUGAUACGUAGCCGACCUGAGAGGGUAAUCGGCCACAUUGGGACUGAGACACGGCCCAAACUCCUACGGGAGGCAGCAGUAGGGAAUCUUCCACAAUGGACGAAAGUCUGAUGGAGCAACGCCGCGUGAGUGAAGAAGGGUUUCGGCUCGUAAAACUCUGUUGUUAAAGAAGAACAUAUCUGAGAGUAACUGUUCAGGUAUUGACGGUAUUUAACCAGAAAGCCACGGCUAACUACGUGCCAGCAGCCGCGGUAAUACGUAGGUGGCAAGCGUUGUCCGGAUUUAUUGGGCGUAAAGCGAGCGCAGGCGGUUUUUUAAGUCUGAUGUGAAAGCCUUCGGCUCAACCGAAGAAGUGCAUCGGAAACUGGGAAACUUGAGUGCAGAAGAGGACAGUGGAACUCCAUGUGUAGCGGUGAAAUGCGUAGAUAUAUGGAAGAACACCAGUGGCGAAGGCGGCUGUCUGGUCUGUAACUGACGCUGAGGCUCGAAAGUAUGGGUAGCAAACAGGAUUAGAUACCCUGGUAGUCCAUACCGUAAACGAUGAAUGCUAAGUGUUGGAGGGUUUCCGCCCUUCAGUGCUGCAGCUAACGCAUUAAGCAUUCCGCCUGGGGAGUACGGCCGCAAGGCUGAAACUCAAAGGAAUUGACGGGGGCCCGCACAAGCGGUGGAGCAUGUGGUUUAAUUCGAAGCUACGCGAAGAACCUUACCAGGUCUUGACAUACUAUGCAAAUCUAAGAGAUUAGACGUUCCCUUCGGGGACAUGGAUACAGGUGGUGCAUGGUUGUCGUCAGCUCGUGUCGUGAGAUGUUGGGUUAAGUCCCGCAACGAGCGCAACCCUUAUUAUCAGUUGCCAGCAUUAAGUUGGGCACUCUGGUGAGACUGCCGGUGACAAACCGGAGGAAGGUGGGGAUGACGUCAAAUCAUCAUGCCCCUUAUGACCUGGGCUACACACGUGCUACAAUGGAUGGUACAACGAGUUGCGAACUCGCGAGAGUAAGCUAAUCUCUUAAAGCCAUUCUCAGUUCGGAUUGUAGGCUGCAACUCGCCUACAUGAAGUCGGAAUCGCUAGUAAUCGCGGAUCAGCAUGCCGCGGUGAAUACGUUCCCGGGCCUUGUACACACCGCCCGUCACACCAUGAGAGUUUGUAACACCCAAAGUYGGUGGGGUAACCUUUUAGGAACCAGCCGCCUAAGGU